ACCUCUUUUUCUUCUUAUCCCAGCCGCUGCGAUAAAAUCGAAGAGAGAGUGCAGUGCAGAUAAAUUCUUUUCAAAACCCUACUAGCAAAAUCAGAUCUGAACCAAUUACCAAACCAUUCAGUAAAAGGUGAUCUUUAAACUCCAUCAUCCCAUUUGUAAGUGUUUCUGAAAUAUGUAGUUUGAUUUUAAUUUCAGGCUUAAGAUUUUGAUUCGUUAUCCUCUUCUCUGGUUCUGGAAUUGAUUUUGAAUUAGAAAAUGAAGAAGUUGAAAUUACAGGUUUUACAUCUAAAUCUCUAGGUUAUGCUGUUCAUGUGUAUGAUUCUCCUUGUAAUGGUUAUUGUUGUAUAAAGAUAUGAGGCUUCUUAGUUUUCGGAAGCCAUCCAGUAAAGAAUACCACAAAUUGUCUCCUUAGGUCCUUAACCAGUUUCAAUGCUAUUUGAGUCGAACCCUACUGAGACAAAUAUGGGAAUUUGAAAUUGGGUUCUGAAAAGGCAUCACUUCUGUCACAAACUUUGCAAGUUAAAUGAUGCAAGCAUGAAGAGACUACAUGAUCUAUGGAAUGAAGACAUAUUGUCAGUAUCUUGUGGCUUCGUAAAUUACAAUCACUGUUUAGAAUAUAGACAGAUGUUUCUCUUGAAAGUAAGGCUCAUUUGGGUUGUAGAAUCUAAAGAUAUUCAAAACCAGAUUGGAAAUAAAUUGGGAUGUGUUUAAGAUUUUGAAUUAUACUGUUGCAUUCUGAUCUAGUAGUGAAAACAAUUUCUUCUUUUUUAAGGUAUAAAAGAAAAGAAAAAAAAGAAAAGAAAAGAAAAGAUGAAGUUGUAUCCACUUUUCGAUGAGAAUGCAUGUGUGGGAUAAUGGAAGCUGGUAAGAAACUGUUUUAAUCUGGAGGAAGCUUGAAAUCCGGUUCAAGAAAAGGGUAAGCAAGAAGCUCUAAGUUGACAUCAAGAUGUACCUAAUGUUGCCUAAGAAGUCAUUGAAGAAUGUUGCAUCAAGCUUUCAUCUAUGUUGGUUGAACUGUUGGUAGCACAAAGACUACGAAAGUGGCAACACAUUUCAUUUCAGGAGCCAUUAGCCAUACAAUAACAGGGUCUGAGAGCAGUUGGCUAUUUAAGGAUGUGUUACCAAUUGAGUAGGGUUGUUAAGCGGUGGUACUCUGGUAUAUGUCUUCCAAAUUCUGUCAUGAAUUCCACCUAACAUCCUAAGUUUUGACAAAAACAGCAAGUUAUAUAAUCUUGCUCUAGGAGAUGCAUGUGUGGGAUAAUGUAAGAUGGUAAGAAAAUUGAAGUUCUAUUUUGAUUUGGAAGAGGCCUGAGUUCGGUUCAUCAAAAGCCCGAGCAAGAAGCUCUAAGUUGACAUCAAGAUGUACGUGAGGUUGGCCAAGAAGUCAUGAAAGAAUGUUGCAUCAAGCUUACAUCAAUAUUGGUCGAACUGUUGGUAGCACAAAGACCAUGAAUGUUGCAAUACGCAGUUCGUUUCAGGUAUAUGCUGGUUUCUCCUUUUAGUUCAGUUAUUUGUCAUGAUAGAUGAUAGUCUUGUUGUGUUAUGUAUUUCUGAUCUCAUCGAUCCCGCCUAUGAAUUUUCCAAUUUCUUUCCAUAUCUCACUGAUACAUUUUGGCGUUUUUCAUUUUAGAACUUCUUUUUAGGUUCGUUUGGUUGUUUUUAGCAAAUGUAUGAUUCACACAGGUUAUCUUACUCGUAUCACAUCCGGGCAUUAUACUAAGGUAGAAAUUUUUUCUGGAAGUUUUGAUAAACAUCUGACCAUCAAUCUCUGUUUGUUAACUAUUUCUGUUUUCAGGAAUGCUCAAACUAUGCUCUUUUAUUAGUUGUUCAGGUGCACUAUCAUUCCAAUGAUUCGGUCUGUUGGAGGUGGUCUUUCUCAAGCAAUGGUGUUUAUUUGGUGAAAAUUGUGAUGUUGGUUUCUUUAAGAUAAGUUUUAUCAAGUAAGAAGCUGCUUGUCCUGCUGCAUUUUGAACCAUUAGGUUCCAUUACAAAACUCUUUGGUAGCAUAAGCAUGUUAUAUAGUAUUGCUUUAAGUGAAUGUCUGCGAAAGUGGUAUUGUGGUUUUAGCAUUUUAGGUAUUGUGGUUUUCAUGCUUCGUGGCUUACGCAGUUUGGCGGUCGAAAGUGCAGACCACCUUUUCUGUCAUUGUUUUUUCACGAACCGAAUCAGGGUUAAAUUACUUCUCAAACAUGGGUGGUGUUGUGGGAGGGCACUUUUUCGGAGAAGGUAUAUCCUCGAACAGCUUAGUUGCAACGCCACAAAUUGAGUCCAUAACUUCUAGAAACCAAUGGUUAACUAAACCCUACAUGUCGAAACUAAACGUUUUUUCUAGCUAUUCAUGUUUUAGCAGCAAUGAGCAAACCGAACAAGAAAUGGGAUUGGUCUGACGGCGAAAUUCAAGUAUUCUUUGGUUGGUCUCUGAGAAAAAGAAAAUGGCAAUAAUGAUUUAAUUUGUGAAAAAAUGGAUUGUAGUAGUACUUCAUAAAUCUUGAAUGCUUUCGCUUAACUGGAUUGUAAUCUCCAAAGCUCUGAUUCAGAAAAAGCUGCACUUAACUACCAUGCAAAUGCUCAAGAUAUACUAAGGUCAGUUAAAUUUGUCUGUCUAUUAUUCGAAUAUUUUUCCUUUAAUGCUAAGUUUUUUUGUCCCAAUAACUUUUUAACUUGUUCAGUUUUGUGACUUUUGUCUGAAGUGAAAGUAUAUUCUGUAUCGAAAGAAAUGCUGACAUAAAUUUUGAAGCUGAAAUUUCUUCUGAGGUGUAUUUAUGUACUUACAGUACCUUGAACCAUUGGGGUCACUUUACAAUCAGAUGAUAGUAAUCUAAAUUCCACAUUGCUUAAAAAAAUUUAGUUGCUUUUUUAGGUUGUGGUAGUGCAGGAUCUCUGCAGCAUAUAUGGGUAGUUAAUCAAGCAGUAUUUAGUUUCUAUAGUUAUCUUUUUUCAUUCAAUCUUGUAUUUCCUUGCUUUUAUUCGUCAUCUUCUUGUUACUUCUCUAGUGAGUAAGAAUUGAGAUUGGGUGGGAUGAGAAACCGUAUAACAGCGGUGUUGCGCUUAUAUUAAAUCUCCACUAAUGAUGUAUCUCUCAGAGGGAUUACAUAUCAAAUUAUAGUUGGCCUGGUAGUGAAUAGGCAUCUGUGAACCUCUGUAAUGGGAGCUUUAACUCCUUUAGUGGUGGCAUCGUGGACUGGGGAGCUUGGUUCUUUUAUUUUUCUGCCUGUAAGUUCCUAUUGGAUCCCCAGGCCUCUUUGAAUUUCUUGUUUCCUCUAUUAACCUUUUAACUAAUAGCAUCGCCAAGUCUGCAGGUUAUUUCAGUGGUGGUUGGAACAAGUCUUCCAGCUUUACUUUAUGAUGCCGAGAGAAUGCAAGUGGAGGACAGGUUGGUGAAAACUUGGUUGUGACCACUUGAAGACGUAUCUUAUGAUGGAUGCUGAAGACAUUCUGGGACGAGAUUCGGAAUGAAAUGAGAUUUCACUAAAGAAUAACGAGGAUGCCUGCCUGUAUCGCCAAGUGAAGACUGGAAUGAGAAGAUGGCACCUCUUUUAGAGCGCCUUUCCUUUUGUUGGAUAUACUUCUGUCUUUUAUGCUUUCUGGAUUUGAUUUUGCAUUUUUUGAUUUGGUAGGUUCAGAUGUACUAAUUGAAGAGAAAGUUUCUGUCUAGAUUUCAAUCUAUAUGUUGUUUGUAUGAAUUACUUGAAUUAUAAAAUCACACUGGAAUAGUGUCCAUAAGGGGAAAAAAACCGUUCUCAGUUGA
Papaver somniferum (opium poppy) is the source of this 3748-nucleotide long non-coding RNA. RefSeq lists it as uncharacterized. NCBI's taxonomy places the organism in Eukaryota, Viridiplantae, Streptophyta, Magnoliopsida, Ranunculales, Papaveraceae. The transcript is spliced from 2 exons. The record is from RefSeq and is a predicted model, not a curated record.